UACGGAGGGGGCUAGCGUUGUUCGGAAUUACUGGGCGUAAAGCGCGCGUAGGCGGAUUGGAAAGUUGGGGGUGAAAUCCCGGGGCUCAACCUCGGAACUGCCUUCAAAACUACCAGUCUAGAGUUCGAGAGAGGUGAGUGGAAUUCCGAGUGUAGAGGUGAAAUUCGUAGAUAUUCGGAGGAACACCAGUGGCGAAGGCGGCUCACUGGCUCGAUACUGACGCUGAGACGCGAAAGCGUGGGUAGCAAACAGG
This 253-nucleotide ribosomal RNA is filed under the name uncultured bacterium. RNAcentral's name for it is "partial 16S ribosomal RNA". It matches the Rfam family "Bacterial small subunit ribosomal RNA", at positions 524 to 776 of the family's 1533-position model. The record is from RNAcentral.